AAUAGAUACCCAGGUAGUCCACGCCGUAAACGAUGGAUACUAGCUGUUUGAGCGCAAGUUUGAGUGGCUAAGCGAAAGUGAUAAGUAUCCCACCUGGGGAGUACGGGCGCAAGCCUGAAACUCAAAGGAAUUGACGGGGGCCCGCACAAGCGGUGGAGCAUGUGGUUUAAUUCGAUGAUACGCGAGGAACCUUACCAGGGCUUAAAUGUAGAUUGACGUAUUUGGAAACAGAUAUUUCUUCGGACAAUUUACAAGGUGCUGCAUGGUUGUCGUCAGCUCGUGCCGUGAGGUGUCAGGUUAAGUCCUAUAACGAGCGCAACCCCUGUUGUUAGUUGCCAGCGAGUAAUGUCGGGAACUCUAGCAAGACUGCCAGUGUAAACUGUGAGGAAGUGGGGAUGACGUCAAAUCAUCACGGCCCUUACGUCCUGGGCCACACACGUGCUACAAUGGCCGGUACAGAGAGCAGCCACUUAGCGAUAAGGAGCGAAUCUAUAAAGCCGGUCACAGUUCGGAUCGGAGUCUGA
RNAcentral lists this ribosomal RNA (524 nucleotides) under uncultured bacterium. RNAcentral's name for it is "bacterial SSU rRNA". It matches the Rfam family "Bacterial small subunit ribosomal RNA", at positions 777 to 1308 of the family's 1533-position model. The record is from RNAcentral.